Long non-coding RNA from Sapajus apella (tufted capuchin), 2879 nucleotides. RefSeq lists it as uncharacterized. The record is from RefSeq and is a predicted model, not a curated record. Lineage: Eukaryota; Metazoa; Chordata; Mammalia; Primates; Cebidae. The transcript has 2 exons.
UUUUCUAUGCAGAAGUUCUCAAGGAUACCCACCCCCAGCAACAACAACAACAACAACAAAAAUUCUAGGACCUAACUGAAUGAGUUUAACAAGGUCACUGGAUACGAAUUCAACCCAAGCCUUGACCAGAAACUUUUUCUGUCAGGAGUACAGCCAACUUAGAAGGACUCUCCACUAAAAAAAAAAAGGAUUCUUACUGAAACUAAUUUUUCCUGCUAGCCAGCCUGACAAGAAUUAACAGAAGUUUCCAAAGAGUAAAAUGAACUAAAAACCAUGAGUGGAAACUAGAGUGGUAGGCAGCAAAUCCCGUUAUCAAUACCAUAAGUGGAUGAUAAGCCUUGGGUCAGCAGUUUGCUGGUAUAGGUGAAUCUGACACUUCCAAUUUAGUAAGUUCAAACCCCCAAAAGGAAAGUGUUCUGGUUUCUGAGCUUUCUUUGUUUUGCUCUAAAUAUGAAUAAUAUUCACCUCACAAGGUCUGAAAAUAGGGCUAAUUAGGAGGCCUGAAGGAGUUAUUUCCUGGUUUCACUCUGCAGAUGCCAGAUAUCGGGGAGCUUUAGUAAUCUGUGUUUCUGCUCCCUCUGGCAAUACAACUAUUAAAAUUAGAAAGAGAAUUUGUUAUUUGUGAAAGCUUAACCAUAACAAUAUGUGCUAGAAAUGCAAAAUACUUAAUUAGGAGUUGAGAAUAUGAGAGAACAAUGAAAUGAGAAUAAACUAACAAAUAUUAUUAGAUUAAAUUUAUUUAUUAAUCAUGAGUUAUUUAUUAAUCCAAGUACCUUAUAGCUACCAAGAUACAGGAUACAAAAAGAGGUUAUUCUUUUUUUUUUUUUUUUUGGCCUGCAGCAGCCGAUAUUCUGAUGCAUUCAGGAUGGUAUGGCUGUAGACAAAAAAAGGUUAUUCUUAAGUGGGAGAGAAGAUAACUAAGUGCCCUGCAAAAUGCCUCAUGAUAUGUGCUAAAGUAAUAUUAGUAUGUACACUGUGCUAUGGAAUCAUCAAAGAGGGGAGCAACUAACUCUCUCCAAGGUUUGAAGAGCAGUGCAGUUGGAUUCUACUUCCAAUCUAUGAAAGUUUAACCAUACCUGUUAAAGUACUCUCUGAGGACCCAGUGAAAAAUCAGGCAGAUACCAGAGAGGAAUCUGUUCUUAUAAGAUAGCUGCAUAAGGUGAUAUCUGUGACUUUGUGGCUUUUUAACUGAUUGCAUUCCCCAGUCAUUUGCAACUUGGGUGGCAGAAAGCUGAAAUUUUAUAGACUUGAAAUGUCAGGGGACAGAGGUCAAACCGGCAGAGCAAGAAAUUACAGAGGAAUCUCUGCAAACAAGAAAAAUCAUAGGAAGGGUGAAUCCCAAAAUUUUAGUAUAAUGUCUGCUCAGGUGCUUGGCUAACAGCCAAGUUAUGUAGGCACAGCAGAGAAACCCCCCGCCUCAAGGGGCCAGGUUCAAACAACAGCAGCUGGAAACCAUAAGAACAAGAUAUCAGUACCUUAUUGUACAAGGGAGACAAAGUUUACAGUUUGAAUCUAGGCAAGUUAAGUAUUAAUAUCUACUAGAACAACAACAAAAACCCUAUAACAAUUCUUAGAAGAACACAGUUAAACCCAGUGUCUAGGCAUGCAAAGAAACAGAAGUAUAACCCCUACUCAAGGAGGGAAAAAGGGCAGUCAGUAGAAACUGACUGAGUGAGCCUAGUUAGAUUUAACAACAACUUCAAAGCAGUUAUUAUAAAUGUGUUGAAUGAGUUAAAGAAAAUAUGACAUCAAUGAGUGGGUAGAAAAUCUCAACCAAGAAAUGGAAACUCUAAAAAUGGAAAUUUGAGAGUUGAAAAAUACAGUAACUGAAAUUUUUAAAAAGUCCGAAUAGCUUCAACAGUAGAUUGGAAAAGAAAGCAGAUUGGCAAAAGAAGCCGUGAAAUUCAAGCUAAAUCAAUAGAAGUCACCCAAUUUUGAGAAACAGAGGAGAAAAAGAUGGAAUAAAGUUGAACAGAGAUAUGUAGGAAAAUAUCAAACAACAACCCAUAAUAUAUAUAAUUAGAGUCUUAGAAGGAGGGGCAGCAGAUUGUAGAAAAUUUUUGAAUAAAUAAUGACUGGAAUUUUCUCAAAUUUGGUGGGAAAAAAAUUGACUUACAAAUCCAAAAAAUACAACAGACUAAAGCAAGAUAAUCACGAAGAAAACCAUUUAUUGACUGUCCAGAGAAAAAUCAUAUAUUGUAUAUAGGGAACAGCAGUGCAAUUAACAUCUCACAUCUUAUCAGAAUCUGUGGAUGUCAAAAGACAUUGGACCAACAUACUCAAAUGUUGGAAGAAAGAAACCUUUCAGCCAAGAAUUCUGCAUCUGGCAAAAUUACCGUUCAAAAAUAAGGGGAAAAUAAAGACAUUUUUGGAUAAACAGAGAUGAGAGAAUUUUUCACUAGUAGACCUGCACUGUAAGAUAUUUUGACUGAAGGGAAAUGACACCAAAAUGGAUAUUUGGAUCUACACAAUGAGUGAAGAGCACAAGAAAUUAUAAAUCUGUGUGUAAAACAAAAAUAAUGAUUUUUUGUUAUUUCCUAAUAUCUUUAAAGGACAAGUGACUGUAAACAAAUAUAGUACUACUAUAUUGAUAUGUUUACAAUAUGUACAGAUAAUACACAGGACAAUAAAAAUACAGGAUAAGGCACAAGUAAAUGGAAUAUUUUGUAAGGUUUCUAUAGUUUUACCUUAAGUAAUUCAAUAAAUUUUCUCUUCUUUUUUCUUUCUUUUUUUUUUUCUACUUUGUCCCCCAGGCUUGAGUGCAGUGGUGUAAUCUCCACUCGCUGAAGCCCUCAACCACCCAGGUUUGAGCAGUCGUCUUGCCUCAGCCUUCCAAGUAGCUGAGACUACAGGCGUGCACCACCAUGCCAAGCUAAUUU